GUAAGUAGUUUAAUGCCUAGUUUGUUCAGCGAUUAUGGGAAUGAAUUUCACAAUCCUGCAUCUUUUUAUCUUGGGAAUUUGAAAUUCUUGAAUUCGCGCUAUAUAUAUGUCUGUGCUAGGAAACUUGUGAUUCUUUGAACCUGAUAUCCUGGAUUUGCACAUUUCUUUUGGUUUGUUCGACAACGUUUGCUUUCUCACGUUUAAUUAUUUCCGUAGGCAUAAUUUUACUUAAAUGGGACCUAAAAAAAACUACCUUUCUCUGUUUCUCGUUUCUUUUAUCUUCAUUGUCUUAGUACUUUCUUCAAUUGAGAGGAAGGAACUCUGAAACUCAGAUUUUGUACCAAAUGAAAGAUAGAGGUUCUUGUCAGGUUCUUUAGUUGUAUUUGAAUUGUAUAAGGAUUUGUACCAUUUUCCAGAGGCCAUGUGCAACCUUGCUGGUUUCCUUUAAGCUAGCCAGUGUAGAUGCAUGACAUUUCAGUUUCACCAAAUUUAUGGAAUAGAUAGCUUAAAGCCUGGACAUGAGUAGCUUUAUGAGAAGGCCUCAUAAGGUUCGCUUAGUGGCAAUUACCCAGUGGUGAAUGAUCAGUAAAUUUAUUUUUGAUAAAGGUUUCUAAUUAUUGUAAUUUUCAGGUAUUACAACAAUGCUUACUAUGCUAAAGUCGGAGGAAUCAGCACAGUAGAGAUGAACUAUCUUGAAGUGGAUUUUCUAUUUGGAUUGGGGUUUAACCUGAAUGUGACCCCCAACACCUUCCACUCAUACUUUUCCUCCCUCCAAAGGGAGAUGAUGCUUCAACCUGUACCACCAAGCUUAGCAGAAUCUUCACUGAACUUAGGGAGAUCUCUAAAGGUCCACUUGUGUUUCAACGAGGAUGAGACAUCCCAUCAAAAGCAGCAAGUUGCUGUUUAAGCCUUUUCAAUAUAAGCAUUAAAUGUAGUUAGCCAUAGAGAUAGUGACUCUUCCUCCUCCUCUAGUCUCCUUUUUUUAUUUUCUUAGUUUGGGAUUGGCAAAAGCUCUGUAAUUUUUCUUUCUUGUCUAGGUUUUUGGAUUAUUCAAAUUAUUUGGUAAUGUACAGAUGGGAUUAUCUGCUUUACAGUGUGGCUAAUCAAAAUGAUUCUCUCCUAUAAAUUUGGGUUGACACAGUUGUACAAAAGUUCUCUCGCUCUCUCUGGACGCUAUGGCUGAUACUUGUUCCUAUCCAUGUUAGGAUUCUAAACUUUUGGGUUGCCACUUAAAAGGGGAGAGGUGGCAAAGUAUUGUUAAAAGGAGAAGAAUAGAAGCGUGAAGGUUAAAAUGGGUAAGAGAAGCAGACAAGAAUAAUGUUGCUGUCAAAUAAUAUGCCAAGGGACAGUUGUAAUGACUGUUGAAAGGGGACAUUCAACAUGUGCAAUCUUGGAUAACUUUGUGACCCUUUUCCUAAUGUCUAUUUUCUUUUUCUUUUUUUUGUCAAAAUAAGAAAAAUUUUGAUUCAGAAUGUUGAGGAUUAGGGCUUGUUUCUUUCUUCACCUAAACAAAAGGUCAAA
Molecule: unclassified non-coding RNA, 1521 nt
Filed under: Hevea brasiliensis (rubber tree)
Lineage: Eukaryota; Viridiplantae; Streptophyta; Magnoliopsida; Malpighiales; Euphorbiaceae
Source: RNAcentral